Molecule: long non-coding RNA, 1115 nt
Filed under: Nicotiana tabacum (common tobacco)
Lineage: Eukaryota; Viridiplantae; Streptophyta; Magnoliopsida; Solanales; Solanaceae
Description: long non-coding RNA (NTAB_LNC000010)
Source: RNAcentral
UCAAAUUGAACUCCAGCUCGUUCCCGGUUCACAACGAAAAGAAUGUGAUCACCUUCCACAAUUUUAUAGUACCUGCACAGAAGAGGAAACUUGAUGAUUCCUGGAAUAGAACAUAAUACUCUUUGAUGAGGUAAGUUCCCAUACAUUACUCAAAGCGUAGAGAACAUAAUUCAAUAUAAGCAUAUUUCUUUGAAUAAUAGAUUCUUGGAACUCGCACUUCAACCAAGUGAUAAAGACUACAUUUGCUUCAGAUAUCACCUAAAGAUCUAAAUCUACUAAUGGAGGAAAACUAUAUCCAAUCAAUGCAUAUAAGUUAGUAUCCAUCUCUUUGAUAUAGGUAGGUAUAGAUGGUCAGACGAAUCUAUCACCAAAAUCAGUUAGGAGACAAAAUAAUUUAUGUCACUUUCACAUGAUAUUAUUGAGUUCUGAUUUGGAAUUCUACUAGAAGAAUGAUCAAUACUACAUUAAAUCCUAAUGAAGAAAAAGGAUAAUAUUUGAUAAGAUACAUCUUGCAAGGAAAAUAUGGCUAUAACAAUGGCUUAUCAUAAAGCAAAGAACCAAUUCUUUGAAACCUCAAUUGUUAAUACCCAGGAAUAUGAGUGGCAAACGGGCGGGGCGGGGCGGAUAUGGUUCGGGUCGAAAACGGGUAAUGAAAAAAACGGACCAAUUAUCCGACCCGACCCAUAUUUAAUACGGAUAAAAAUGGGUUAACCGGACCAUAUUAUCCAUGAAUUCUUGCAUAUGAUCACUUUUGGGAGAAUUCUUAAUCUCCCUAACUUGAGGAACCCCAAUUUGAGGCUUUACAAAUGUAAAAGUUAGACCCAUUGGUUAUCCAUUUUCUAAAUGGAUAAUAUGAUUCUUAUCCAUAUUUGACCAAUUUUUAAGAAGUUCAUUAUCCAACACAUUUUUUAGUGGAUAAUAUGGAUGGUUAACUGUUUUCUUUUAACCAUUUUGCCACCCCUACCCAGGAAUACUAAUGACAUAAAUGAAGACUAACAAUGAGGACUGUGUAGUUAUUAAAGGCUAUGGACACAGAACUAGAAGAGAUACUAUAUGAUAUUAACUUGGCUAAACAAAUACAAGAGCAGAAUCUGACUGGUCACCUACCAGAUGCC